This is a non-coding RNA of Pangasius djambal, 75 nucleotides long. The record is from the annotation of a GenBank genome assembly. NCBI's taxonomy places the organism in Eukaryota, Metazoa, Chordata, Actinopteri, Siluriformes, Pangasiidae.
GGCAGUGGUGACUCAGUGGUUAAAGGCUCUGGGUUAUUGAUCAGAAGGUCAGGGGUUCAAGCUCCAGCACUGUUG